Molecule: long non-coding RNA, 2349 nt
Organism: Rhincodon typus (whale shark)
Lineage: Eukaryota; Metazoa; Chordata; Chondrichthyes; Orectolobiformes; Rhincodontidae
Exons: 5
Source: RefSeq, a predicted model, not a curated record
GCCUAUCCAUUAGCUGGGCCUAGAUAUAUAUAUAUAGAGAGAGAGAGAGAGAACGUUAAAAACAAAACUGGAACAGCGCUGCUUCAUUCUCUGAACUUUCUGCAUUUGGGCUGGGAAAUCUAUUUCCGAACGGCGAACGAAAGCCAACAAAUCCAUGGGCCGCAAAGCUAUUCCUGCUUGCGCUUUCUUAAAGUAUAGCGAACUUUUCACAUUGUGUGUUUAAAAUAAGCUGCAGAAUGACCAUGGGCGAGAAGACCGCAAUCUCUCGCAAAAGGGGACCGUGCGCGUUUAACAGGCCGAGAUAGGGUAAUGUCCCUUUAAAAGGGAGGUGGAUUAGCAGUGUGUCCCAGCCUUGGUCGCAGCGUCGCGGUUCACGAGUCAAGUUCAAGCCGGCGGCUCUCCCGAGCUGCUCGGCCAUUACCGCUAUGAUCACACACACUUGGCUCCCCGCUUGAACUUGGACUCGAAAUGUACGUCGCCAAUGCACACGUAUACAGAUCACGCACAAAUUCAUUUCAGCUGGCUGCUCACAUAUGGGAAAUCUGCCAAGCUCAGCGCUUUUGCUUUCUGUCUCUCUCUUCCCCCCUCCCGCCCCAUCCCCUCCCCUUUAAACACCACAAAAUCUUGGCACAAACCCGAUCGCAUAAGCAACAGAGAGAAGCACAGACACACCGGAACCAACACACAGCCCGAGCAAGACGGUGCAUUAAAAUAUACGUACCAUUGCCAUGUGAAAUCGUGUAAGGAAGUACUGCAGCAUUCGUGAGGCACAGCACGUACCAUUGUAUACGUUAAUAUCUCCACAGCCUGGGCUAAUUUCACCUUGUAGUGAAGACCUAUCCAACAUCAGAAUCGCUACCUGGCCAUUUUGAAGCUGAAUCAACUGCAAGUAAGCAGGGGGACAACUUGAGAUAGCCAUCUACCUAAUAGGAAACCCAACGUGGCACCAGAGAACAUGCAGCCAAAAGAUGUCUAUGGAUCUAAAUUCAAUAGUUAUCUGGCAAAGUCAUGAAUGAACCCAUGGAAAGUCACACCUGUAAAAUGUCAGCCGUCCAGAGAAUUCACACAUUAUUUAAGGAUGGACAAAUACAAAAGACUAUGGAGUUUCGAGACUGUCUGCCUCCAUGUUUCAUACUGGACAUGAGGGAAGAUUGAAACUUAAUUUGUGAAGCUGCUUGAACAGCUGCGCACUUCCAGUAUUUUCUGGUUUUAUUUCAAGAUUUCCAGCAUCCGCAACUUUCUGCUUUUGUACUACUGUUUCAAGUGAUAACAUUCACUCUUCGUAUUUACAAUAUUUGGACCGUUAUUUGACGAUGCUAAUACUUAAUAUACACAAGAUUCGUUUUAUUCUCAGUCUUAACCGCCAAUUAAAUAUUAAGAGAAUGGUUUAGAAUUGAAGCAGACUAUUAUUUGAGGACCUUGUCUUAAACUCUCAAUUGGACUCAAACAAUUGGCAUGAUCAUUUACACUAUUAAAUAGGAAUUCGCCUCCAUAGGAUUUUGCAUCUUGUUUUUCUCCCACACCUGAUUUGACAGUGUAGUGUUCCCUAAGCUUUUGUAAAAGUGUCAGCUAAUUAAAAAAUUGGAGCAAGUUACAGUGGUAAAUUGGAACUGGCGUUACAGUAUUGUGAUACGAAGCAGGAUUUCUUACACAUUAACACUGGCAGCUGUUCGUUAAUACAGUAUUGCCUAUCCGACUGGAAUCAUUCAAAUAGCUAUACGACAAAGUACAAAUAAACACAAACACAGGGAAGGCUUUUAUAGAUUGAACACUCCUGUGUCACAACUUGCAGGCGUAUGUUGGUUUUUCCAAUAGAAAUUCGCCGUGCAGAUGGGACUGUGGAAUAAAUAUGCAACAUGACUUCUUUUUAAAUUAUAACUACGUGGCUUUGCUACACAUGCUGAAUGUGUUGGAGCAGAGAUGACCGACAGCAUUACAGACAGGUCACCGAAACAAAGGCAACACAAUAUUACACACAAACUCUCCUCACUCCAGCACUGUGCACACUUUUGUCUAAUGGCUGGCCCGAUUAACCUGCCAGUGAUAAAGCUUCAACAAAACUAGACAGCACGUCUGCGCUCGGCUGCAGACCUCAGGGGUAAGAGGAGAUUGCCAGCAGACAGGAAUGAAUUAUUCACCGAGAUAUCUACCUCUUCGAGACUGCGAGAGCGAGAUGGAAAUUUCACCAGCUUAAAGUUUUCACUCCGUACAGAUUUCCCCAAACUCUUCUCACAGCCGCGGAAACACGACUUUUUAUGUCGUUUAGACGCAACACCAAAGGGAAUAAAUCCUUCGUUUAUGCUUAAAAACCCGCUAAGAACAUAUUUCUUUAGUAAGUGUUAAGUGUCU